GUAACCGAGCCGGCCCUGGGCUGCUGGAGGGACGGAGGCGGCCAUGGUGGAUCGAUAGCUGUGGGGAGAGAAAGGAAACCGAGGACGGGAAGGAAAAUGAAGCUAAGUUGCCUUCGGAGGCACUGGGCGUCUGCAGAGACGGUUCUCUGUCUUUCCAAGGUGCUUGUAGAUUGUGGCCUCUGCCUCCGCUGGCCUCUCCUCUAAGGAUCUCAGCUUCCCGAAGGCCAUGUUGGGUGAAGAUCGGAGUCGCCCAAGGGGACCAGCAGGUGGGGCCAGACCCCGGCUCUGACCUCACGCCUGGGUGACAGGGGCACACAUUGCUCCUCGCUGAGCUCAUCUCCCACCUCCAUACCAUGGGCACACAGGCCUUCAGAGAGCAGCCUAUUCCUCUGGUUCCUGGGAUGAAAUCCCAAACGACUGGCAUCACGUCUUGUCACAGAUCUGCGUUGAGAGGGACAACUCUGGUCUCUCCACAGAUGCCACCUGGGCACUGCCUACUGGGGUGACCCUAGGACCUGCGACCAGCCCUCAGGGGAGCUCACGGCUGCUGUGCUGGGACCAGCUCUGCAUUGCAGGCUCCUCUCUGCCCGCCGCGGCUCCCACCCGCUCCCCUCCCAGAGGACUCACUCCAAAGGAAGCCCGUCCUCUGUCAGCAGAGCCGCCUCACCCGGGAAAGGGACUUUCAUCUCUUUGAGCAAGACUUCCUGCUGCAUCAGCAGAAACUUCAGGCUCCCCAAGAAAUAGGCUCCGGACUCCCUGGGCAGCCUCCAGAGAGCCCAGCCUCUUCUGGGAUGUGAGGGCUGGAACCGGGCACAGCAGCCGGGGCAGCUCGGGGGUUCAGGGCACAGACUUUGGGGUAGGACACAUCAGCCUUGAGUUCUUGCUCUGCUGUGUGACCUUGGGUCGGUUGCUUUCUCUUAUGAUUCAGCUUCCUUAAGCAAGCUGAGGAGACAAACUAUAGUGAAUCAGCAGGCCGCGAGUUACUCCCUGUUGUGGAGGAGGGUAGCUUUGCCACGAACGACUCUAUUUUAUAAAACAGCAGUUUGCUCUGUUUGGAGCACAAGUGGUUAAGCAGAGUAACUCGGAAACUCGACUGGGCCAACAGAUAACCCCCAGGUGCUGGACAUACCAGACUCAUGGACAAAGCCAGCUCCUGGCCACACAGCACCAACACGAGGUGUGAGCUGGUAGAUUCGUCGUGCUGAUAAAGAAUAGCCACCUGCAAACUUCUCCAUGAAACCAAGAGCACACGGACGCGUGACAAUACCUGAAUUACAUCAGACAAAACCAGGCCAACGACUGCUGCUGUCCUCUCACCUGGAUCAUACCAGAGAAGGGACACCCACCGCCGGGCAUGGAGGCGACACACACCGGACCUCAUCCCUCAGACCACCCUGUGAGGGUGGUCAGGUCGGCCGGCAGUGAACUCCAGUUCCCAGUUCCGCGCGGCCCACUCCAAGUGUCUGCCCUCAAGACAGGCUCUGACCAGCUCUGAGCUCCCAGCAGGCCUGGAACCUCACAUGGACCCCUGGGGUCACCUCCCACAUCUCUGUGGACUCUGCCUUGGAUCGCAGCCCUCUGCUUGGAUCCCACAGCCCCUGCUAGCCUUUUCCCAGCUGCUGUGUCACCUGCAUAGUACUGUGUAAAGUGUGACGUGUGACUUGAGUGUUU
Molecule: long non-coding RNA, 1671 nt
Organism: Fukomys damarensis (Damara mole-rat)
Lineage: Eukaryota; Metazoa; Chordata; Mammalia; Rodentia; Bathyergidae
Exons: 3
Source: RefSeq, a predicted model, not a curated record